UACGUAGGGGCCGAGCGUUGUCCGGAGUUAUUGGGCGUAAAGCGCGCGCAGGCGGCCUCGCGCGCCCGACGUGAAAGCCCCCGGCUUAACCGGGGAGGGUCGUUGGGGACGGCGGGGCUUGAGGGCGGGAGAGGUCGGUGGAAUUCCCGGUGUAGUGGUGAAAUGCGUAGAGAUCGGGAGGAACACCUGCGGCGAAGGCGGCCGACUGGGCCGACCCUGACGCUGAGGCGCGAAGGCGUGGGGAGCGAACGGG
This 253-nucleotide ribosomal RNA is filed under the name uncultured bacterium. Its description in RNAcentral is "partial 16S ribosomal RNA". It matches the Rfam family "Bacterial small subunit ribosomal RNA", at positions 524 to 776 of the family's 1533-position model. The record is from RNAcentral.